This 576-nucleotide long non-coding RNA is filed under the name Brassica napus (rape). Its description in RNAcentral is "long non-coding RNA (BNAP_LNC010065)". The record is from RNAcentral. Lineage: Eukaryota; Viridiplantae; Streptophyta; Magnoliopsida; Brassicales; Brassicaceae.
ACAAAUCGCAAAACCGUUAUUAUCUCAAGAGUCGUCUCUUUUCGCAAACUCAUUAAUAUAAUAAAUUCUACAGGUUUGUAUAUUUCUUGUAGUUCAUUAAUCGGUUUCUCUCCUUCUUUUCUUGUCUCUUCUGUUUUUUCUUCUCUCUGUUUCCCCCACAUCCAAAAAUCCUGUCAAAUUCUUUUUUCUCUGGACAUUCAUUGCCGUUGAUCAAUACCAUAUUCCUCACGCCCUCGCUCCUUCCCACCAAUUGCUCUUUGAAAUGAAACAAACUUAAAGGAAAACAGAGAGAGUAAAAAGAGAAAUUAAAAUAAUGAAACUGAUUAUGUUUGCCGAGAAACAUAUUUUGCUUACAAGGGAUGACAGAUCCUGAUGAAUGAUAUGGUAUAGGUUGAGGGACCAUCCUUACAGACUCGUAGUCGAAUCACAACAGAAUAAGGUAUGUUUCUAUAGCAAUAGGGUUAAAGGUUUGAUUCCUAUCAGAUGUUGUUUUUGCUGAGACACGUUAUUCUUGCUAAACUGGAAGAAUCCUUUUCACAAAUUUCAAGAAAACCUAUCAGAGUAAAGAGUUCAGGC